UCGAAAAAGUCCGUUAGCAUCUCAAUCGUUUUCAGAAGAGGCUAUCAGCUAAGUUAGCUAAGAUCAUGUUGAUGUCCUAAGUUACUGCACCCCCUGUCCAAGACAAUCUCCACGGCUAUGAACUCGACUAGUGUGUUUUGAAAUAAGUUGGCCAAUGAGACAUCGUACUGUCCAACUCAAAGUAGAGCCCUGCGCAGGACUAUUUUCCUCACCCCGCCGAAUCUCUGACCAUUACCGCUCCCGCAACGGAUGUUACACUCCCGUGGGACCCGGCGGUACUCAAUCCCAAUGCAGCCCUCUACCAAGCACAAAGCUAACUUUUGUAAAUUGCACAAAGCACAACAGGAGGGAUCAUGAAAUUUGAUUCUGCAGCCACAGAGAAGUAAAUCAAGAUGCAUGUUUCUGAGCACCUCAAGCACGCGCCACAAAGAUUGGAGGUAGAUUC
Long non-coding RNA from Pimephales promelas (fathead minnow), 445 nucleotides. RefSeq lists it as uncharacterized. NCBI's taxonomy places the organism in Eukaryota, Metazoa, Chordata, Actinopteri, Cypriniformes, Leuciscidae. The record is from RefSeq and is a predicted model, not a curated record.